GACGAACGCUGGCGGCGUGCUUAACACAUGCAAGUCGAACGGUGAAGGGGUCUGCUUUUGUGGGCCCUGGAUGAGUGGCGAACGGGUGAGUAACACGUGAGUAACCUGCCCCCUUCUUCUGGAUAACCGCAUGAAAGUGUGGCUAAUACGGGAUAUUCUGGGUCUGUCGCAUGAUGGGUCUGGGAAAGAUUGCGCCUUUGGGUGUUUUUGGUGGGGGAUGGGCUCGCGGCCUAUCAGCUUGUUGGUGGGGUGAUGGCCUACCAAGGCGGUGACGGGUAGCCGGCCUGAGAGGGUGGACGGUCACACUGGGACUGAGACACGGCCCAGACUCCUACGGGAGGCAGCAGUGGGGAAUAUUGCACAAUGGGCGCAAGCCCGAUGCAGCGACGCCGCGUGAGGGAUGGAGGCCUUCGGGUUGUAAACCUCUUUCGCCAGUGAAGCAGGCCUGCUCCUUGUGGGUGGGUUGACGGUAGCUGGAUAAGAAGCGCCGGCUAACUACGUG
Molecule: ribosomal RNA, 502 nt
Filed under: uncultured bacterium
Lineage: Bacteria
Description: partial 16S ribosomal RNA
Rfam family: Bacterial small subunit ribosomal RNA
Source: RNAcentral